GUCGGUUCUCUUCAUUGAGUUGGGCCCAUUGCUUUAUACAUAAACCCGGAUUGGGUCCAUUACAAAUUCAGUCCAACAAGUCAAAAAUAAGAAAGAUCUAACUGAGCUAACUAAAACAAAGUUAUAUACAUAAAUACACAUUUGGGCCAUUUGGGCCUAUCAGUAUUAUUCUUUCAGCUUUGGGCCUGAAGCCAAAUAUGCAGAUAGUCCAACACCCCCCUUGAAGUUGAAGGGGGAUAGCACCUUCAACUUGUCCCGGAAUGAAUGAUGGAGAGCACCAGGAAGAGGCUUUGUAAGCACAUCAGCAAGUUGUUGAGCAGUUGGAACAUGGUGAAGUUGAAUAAAUCCCUCAAGCAGCUUGGUCCGAAUUAAAUGACAAUCCACCUCGAUGUGCUUAGUACACUCGUGAAAGACAGGAUUUUUAGCAAUAUGAAUGGCUGCCAAGAUGUCACAAAAUACAGAAAUAGGAGAAUAAAUAGGAACAUAGAUGUCAGUUAAUAAUCUGGAUAGCCAGAUUAGUUCAGCCACAACUUUGUUUACAGCACGAUAUUCAGCUUCGACUGAAGACAAAGAAACCACUGGUUUCUUCUUAGACUUCCAACCAAUAAGACUAUCACCAAGGAAAAUAUAAUAAAUUUGUGUCUCUGGGCAGGCAGCCCAAUCACUGUCUGAAUAAGCAUGGACAAACAUAUCAGCAGAAUCAGAGUAAAAGAUCCCAAGAUCAUCAGUACCCUUGAGAUAUCUAAGCAAGUGAAGAGCAGCACACAUAUGAGGAAAUCUGGGGGACUUUAAAAAUUGACUAAGGUGUUGAACUCCAAAAGAGAUAUCUGAUCUUGUGUGAGUAAGAAACAAUAGUUUACCAACAAGACUUCUGUAUUUUUCUGGUGUAGGAAGAAUAUCACCAACAUCAGCAUGCAAUUUAUUAUUUAACUCCAAAGGACUCACCACAGAACUUACAUCAGAACAGAUAAACUCAUGAAGCAAAUCAGUUACAAAUUUCUUCUGAUUGAGAAGAACACCCCUAGGCAGAUAGUUAACUUCAAUACCCAAAAAGUAAUGCAAUGACCCCAAAUCUUUAAUCUUGAAUUCAUUGUCCAAAAAUUCUUUCAAUGAAUCAAUACUAAUGUUCUCUAUGAUACUUGAUCAUGUUUGUAUUAUACUAUUAAUCCUGAGUUUGGUAUAAUCUGAUCUUCUAAUCAUCACCUAUGACUAUUAUUCAACAUAUACUGCCAAGAUAACUAGAUGACCAGGAGACCCUUUUAUAAAUAAAGAGUAGUCAUUGGGGGAAGAAUGAUAACCUCUAGAACACAAGGCAUGAGAUAGUUUAGCUUACCAUUGUCGUGAAGCUUGUCUUAGGCCAUAAAGGGAUUUCCUAAGUCUACAAACCAAUAGAGCAGAAACAGAAGAGUAGGAAAGGGAAACAAAAAGACCCAAAGGCAGUUUCAUGUAGACCUCUUCAUCUAAAUCACCAUGAAGGAAUACAUUAUUAACAUCAAGUUGAAAUAGAGACCACUUUUUCUUAACAACAGCAGCAAUAAGACAUUUCACAGUGGACAUUUUCACUACGGGAGAAAAAGUUCCAUUGACAUCCACCCCCUCAACUUGGGUGUCCCCUCUAAUGACAAGCCUAGCUUUUUAUCUUUGACACUACCAUCAGUAUUGUAUUUAAUUUUAUAGAUCCAUUUGCACCCAAUAGGUUUCUUACCAUUUGGGAGAUCAACAAUGUCCCAAGUAUGAUUUUGUUCUAAAGAUUCAAAUUCUUUUCUCAUGGCAUCUUGCCAAGCUGGUAUGGGAGCAGCCGGGAAUAUGUAUAUGGUUCAAAUUCUUUAUGCUGAGUAACAGAACAAGAAAGAGAUGAUAGAAGGGUGUAAACAUAAUCCUUUAAAUUGGAUGGAUGAGAGUGAACUCUACUAGAUUUUCUUAAAGGUAGUGAAGAGGAAGAUGAAUCCGGAGAAGGAGCAGGUAUAGUAGUAGGAAUAAUGUCAGGGUUAAAGGAAAUAGGAGAGGUUGGCACUUCAUGUACAGAAUCAUGUAAGGAGGAAGUAGAAGGAUGAACAGGGUGAGUGGGACUUGGAACAGGAGAUUGUACUUGUGAAAGAACAUCAGCAACAAGUUCUGGGUGUGACAAAACAUCAGCAGCUUCAGGAAGAUCAAUGUUAGGAUCAAGAGAAGAAGAUUGUGGUGUAUUUGGUAAAAGACAUUCAGGAGAAACAAGAAGAGAAAAAUCAGGUGAGAAAGGAAAAUGAAGUUCAUGAAACAUCACAUCUCUAGAGAAGAAACAUUGUUUAGUGUGCAAAUUAUACAAUUUGUAUCCCUUUUAGCAAAGGGAUAACCAAGGAACAUACAGGGAAAUGCUCUAGGUUUUAAUUUGUCUCUUUGGAGAAUGGGAACAGUGGCAUAUCAAAGACACCCAAAAGUUCUAAGAUGGGAAUAACUAGGCACUUUACCGUACAAUAAUUCAUAAGGAGAUUUGUUGUUGAGUAAUCUGGAAGGAAAUCUAUUGAUGAUAUAAGUGGUUGUUAAUAGGCAGUCCCCCCAAAAUCUUAUAGGAACUUUAGACUGAAAGAGUAAAGCUCUAGAUGUUUCAAGUAAAGUCUUAUAUUUUCUUUCCACCACACCAUUUUGUUGAGGAGUGUGGGGACAACUAGUCUGAUGAAUAAUGCCAUGUUUAGAGAAGAAAUAAAUGUCAGCAAGACUAGAGCCUAGCUCUAAUGCAUUAUCAGAUCUAAUGUUUUGUAUUAUAGUAUGAAACUGAGUCUUUACCAUGGCAAUAAAUGCUUUAAGCAAAGAGAAUGGAUUACUCUUGGAUUCCAUUAUAUGAGUCCAAGUGCUUCUAGAAAAAUCAUCAACAAUGGUGAGGAAAUACUUGAAACCAGAAUAGGUAGGGGUAUUAUAAGGUCCCCAAGUAUCAACAUGAAUGAGUUAAAAAGGUUUGGAAGUUUUAAUGGAAUUUUCUGGGAAUGGUAAUCUGGUUUGCCUAGCCAAUGGACAAAUUGUACAAGGAAAAUACUAAUUAGAAGAAAUUUCAUAUAUACUCUUCAUUCUAAUAAAAGGAACAUGAGCAAGUCUAUUAUAACAGACAAUAUCCAUUUUAUUCAAAACAGCUUUAUUACAUAUGGCAGAAUCUUUAUGUACAUCAGAAGAAGAGAAAGAACUAGAGUUACACAAAGAUGAAAGGUUGUUGAUAUUUGAAACAUUUGUCAGAGUUGGCUGAAUCUGAGAUGAUGAUUAUUCUCAAACAAACUUGUAUAAGGCAUUGUCCAGCUUACCAUGAUCCAGGGGCUUCUUCAGAGAAUGGCCAUGUAUAACACAUGAGAUUCUGGUAAACUGAACUAUGCAAUCAAAUUGUUCAGUAAUUUUGUGUACAAAAAUGAGAUUAUGUUUAAAAGAAAGUGGAUAAAGGACAUUGUGAAGAAUAAUGGACUUAGUUAAGACAAAAGAUCAUGUACAGGUAACCUUAACUUUAUAUCCAUUUGGAAGAGAAACAAGAAAAGGAAUGGAUAAGGGUGUGAUAUUAAUGAGAUAUUCUUUAUUGGAAGUCAUAUGAUCAGAUGCACCUGAAUCUACUAUCCAAGUUAAGGAAUCUGAUUUACUCAGCAAAGUAGAAUUAAAACUAUAUACAACAGUCUUAGGCAGUAAAGUAUCAGCAAAAUUGGCAGAACUUAAAGUGUUGAGAGAAGGUCCAAAAUCAGAAAUGUGAGUCCAUUGAAGCAAGGAUAUCAAUUGAGCAUACUGCUACUGAGUCAAUCCAUGUACCACAGAUCCUUGUUCUGCCUUAUUCUGAGUAGAAGUUGAAACAGAAUUGGCAGAAACAUUUUGUGGAGUAGCAAGUUCAGAAUCUACCAUGUUUGCAGCUAGUUUUCUGCCUUUGGUGAACUUAAAAUUUUGAGGAAAUCCAUUAAGUUUGUAACAUUUGUCAAUCAGGUGCCAUGUCUUCUUACAAUACUUACAGAAGAGACCAGACUUAGAUUGAUCAAAAAAUACCCUUUGACUGUACUGUUUUUGUUGUGGCUGUGGUUGAGUAAAUUUGAUAUUGUUGGAACUAGCAUUGAAAGAGGCAGAUUCUGAAUGAGACUGAGGAUUUGUAGUAAUUUGUCUUUGUUUUUCAUCUUGUAGAAGAAUGAUAUAGAAAGAAUCAAGAGAAGGUAAAGGAUGCAUCAUCAAUAGAUUGCUUCUAACACCCACAUAAACCUCGUUUAAUCCCAUGAGGAACUGAUGUACUUUGUCCUCUUCUCUUUCCUUUUGUAAACCCUCUUUAGCAGCACAUUUACAAGAGUUUGCAUGACUACUACGCAUAACCUCCAAUUCAUCCCAUAUUUUCUUAAGUUUAUUGAAAUAAGAAGGAAUAUCAAAAGAUCCCUGAUAUGUGGAUGCUAGAUUUCUUUUUAAUUCAAACACCUUAGUUUCAUUUACUGUCCCAUAUCUAUUAUUAAGUUGUUUCCAUAUGCUCUCAGCAGUAUCUGAGUAAUGUACACUCUCAGCUAUGUCUGGUGAAAGUGAGUUGGUCAGCCAUGAUAUGACCAUAUUAUUGCAGCGGUCCCAUUGCCUAAACUGAGGGGAAUUUUCAGGAGGCCUAACACAGGUCCCGUCAAUAAAACCAAUUUUAUUUCUAGCAGAUAACGAAACAAUCAUACUACGCUUCCAACUUCCAAAUCCAUUCACCGAGAACGAUAUCGCAACAAGAGAAACCCCAGGUACAUCAGAAGGGAGAAGGAAUAACGGGGAAGACGGUUCAGGUGUGUAAACAAAUGAAGAAGAUGAAGAGUUCACAGGAGGAUCGAGACUACCCAUAUCAACCAGGUAAUAUCAAUUACCAAAUGUUCAGAAGAAAGCAACUCAAUACUUUUCACACAAUGAAGAAAUCAAACAACUGAGGAACGAAAAUACCAGACUUCUUCGCGACCUGAAGAAGCAAAGGCCUUUAACAGCAUAAACCCAAUGUCUGACAAAGAAACCCUAGGUUCUUCGAUCGAGUUUGAAAAUACGAGAAAAAUGCCAUAGAAUCUUCAAAUCAAAAGACUUUGUUGAUAGAAAAGAUAAAAUCCACACUGAAACACCUUGAAAUUUUCUCAAAUCGCUGAAGACGCAGAUCUUUGACGAAAGCAAAAAAACACCACGAAAUCGAACAAAGGUAACACCGGACGAUGCAGGAGAACGAGAGCUAGCAAAAUCCCUGCUCUGAUACCAUGUUAACUAGCAAAAUCAGAGGAAACGAAGGUUUCCAUCAAUGGAAGCCAGGGUUCGAGAAAGUUCUUCUGAAAGAGAACUUUGAUUAACAGAAGAUGUAAAAUGAAAAAUAUGUCGGUUCCCUUCAUUGAGUUAGGCCCAUUGCUUUAUACAUAAACCCGGAUUGGGUCCAUUACAAAUUCAGUCCAACAAGUCAAAAAUAAGAAAGAGCUAACUGAGCUAACUAAAACAAAGUUAUAUACAUAAAUAGACAUUUGGGCCUAUCAGUAUUAUUCUUUCAGCUUUGGGCCUGAAGCCAAAUAUGCAGAUAGUCCAACA
RNAcentral lists this long non-coding RNA (5505 nucleotides) under Nicotiana tabacum (common tobacco). RNAcentral's name for it is "long non-coding RNA (NTAB_LNC011223)". The record is from RNAcentral. Lineage: Eukaryota; Viridiplantae; Streptophyta; Magnoliopsida; Solanales; Solanaceae.